This is a long non-coding RNA of Pogoniulus pusillus (Red-fronted tinkerbird), 542 nucleotides long. RefSeq lists it as uncharacterized. NCBI's taxonomy places the organism in Eukaryota, Metazoa, Chordata, Aves, Piciformes, Lybiidae. The record is from RefSeq and is a predicted model, not a curated record. The transcript is spliced from 2 exons.
GGGUUGUUGAGUGGAUUUUGGCUCUCUAGGUGAGAGCUGAGGAGAUUGGGAUGCUUCCCCUGCCUGGAACUAUUGGCUGUAGCAGAAGAGUGAGCAGAGUGCUGGGCAUGGCCUGGAGAUGUUUCCUUUGGAGCUGAGGUCUUGCAGCAGGAUCUUUCAGGUCAGUGAACUGGCUUCCACAGGAGGUUCACUGGACACUGCCCCAUUGCUGCUCCUGUGAACACUCUGUCUGAGGAAAAACUUCUUCUCCCAGUGCUGGGACUAGUGGAAUUGGCCAGCUCCAAGUUCAGGCUCUGAGUGAGCAUCUACCACGUUACCCCUGGACAGCAGUGAAGACACAGUCCUCAGGGGCAGCUCUUUGUGGGGCUCUCUGUAGAGGCCACUUUUGGACAAGGGUAAGAUUGUAUGAAGAAUGCAUCCCAGCUGCUGACACACGAGGCUGUUGCAGCAGAACUGGAAAGCACAGUGCUGGUAUGAGUACCCUUUAUCUUUAUUGCUUCCUCAAUGGGUGGAGAAAUUUGAUUAAACUCAUUUGUAAUGUU